This 118-nucleotide ribosomal RNA is filed under the name Triticum dicoccoides. The record is from RNAcentral. Lineage: Eukaryota; Viridiplantae; Streptophyta; Magnoliopsida; Poales; Poaceae.
GGAUGCGAUCAUACCAGCACUAAUGCACUGGAUCCCAUCAGAACUCCGAAGUUAAGCGUGCUUGGCGAGAGUAGUACUAGGAUGGGUGACCUCCUAGGAAGUCCUCGUGUUGCAUUCC